GCCUAACACAUGCAAGUCGAGCGGAUGACGGGAGCUUGCUCCUUGAUUCAGCGGCGGACGGGUGAGUAAUGCCUAGGAAUCUGCCUGGUAGUGGGGGACAACGUUUCGAAAGGAACGCUAAUACCGCAUACGUCCUACGGGAGAAAGCAGGGGACCUUCGGGCCUUGCGCUAUCAGAUGAGCCUAGGUCGGAUUAGCUAGUUGGUGGGGUAAUGGC
Molecule: ribosomal RNA, 216 nt
Filed under: Pseudomonas sp.
Lineage: Bacteria; Pseudomonadati; Pseudomonadota; Gammaproteobacteria; Pseudomonadales; Pseudomonadaceae
Description: partial 16S ribosomal RNA
Rfam family: Bacterial small subunit ribosomal RNA
Source: RNAcentral